AGAGUUUGAUCCUGGCUCAGAACGAACGCUGGCGGCGCGUUUUACGCAUGCAAGUCGAACGGCAUAAGCUGUAGCAAUAUGGUUUAGAGAGUGGCAAACGGGUGAGUAACACGUAGGUGAUCUACCCUCGGACGGGGGAUAGUCCGUGGAAACACGGGGUAAUACCGCAUGAGGCCUUGUGGGUAAAGCCAUGAGGUGAAAGGUGCAAUUGUACCAUCUGGGGAUGAGCCUGCGGCCCAUUAGGUAGUUGGCGGGGUAAGAGCCCACCAAGCCGACGAUGGGUAGCCGGCCUGAGAGGGUGUACGGCCACACUGGAACUGAGACACGGUCCAGACUCCUACGGGAGGCAGCAGCGAAGAAUCUUCCGCAAUGGGGGAAACCCUGACGGAGCGACGCCGCGUGGGCGAUGAAGGUCGUAAGAUUGUAAAGCCCUUUUUUCGGUGAAGAAUAAGGUGGGGAGUGGAAAGCCUCAUCGAUGACGUUAGCCGAAGAAUAAGCCCCGGCCAAUUACGUGCCAGCAGCCGCGGUAAUACGUAUGGGGCAAGCGUUGUUCGGAGUUAUUGGGCGUAAAGGGCGUGUAGGCGGUUUAUCAAGUCUGGUGUGAAAUAUCUGGGCUUAACCCAGGGGAUGCGCUGGAAACUGGUAGACUUGAGUUCCUGAGGGGAAGCUGGAAUUCCAGGUGUAGGGGUGAAAUCUGUAGAUAUCUGGAAGAACACCGGUGGCGAAGGCGAGCUUCUAUCAGAGGACUGACGCUGAGGCGCGAAAGCGUGGGGAGCAAACAGGAUUAGAUACCCUGGUAGUC
RNAcentral lists this ribosomal RNA (802 nucleotides) under uncultured bacterium. RNAcentral describes it as "bacterial SSU rRNA". It matches the Rfam family "Bacterial small subunit ribosomal RNA", at positions 8 to 795 of the family's 1533-position model. The record is from RNAcentral.